This 2904-nucleotide ribosomal RNA is filed under the name Escherichia coli. RNAcentral describes it as "23S ribosomal RNA". It matches the Rfam family "Bacterial large subunit ribosomal RNA". The record is from RNAcentral. Lineage: Bacteria; Pseudomonadati; Pseudomonadota; Gammaproteobacteria; Enterobacterales; Enterobacteriaceae.
GGUUAAGCGACUAAGCGUACACGGUGGAUGCCCUGGCAGUCAGAGGCGAUGAAGGACGUGCUAAUCUGCGAUAAGCGUCGGUGAGGUGAUAUGAACCGUUAUAACCGGCGAUUUCCGAAUGGGGAAACCCAGUGUGUUUCGACACACUAUCAUUAACUGAAUCCAUAGGUUAAUGAGGCGAACCGGGGGAACUGAAACAUCUAAGUACCCCGAGGAAAAGAAAUCAACCGAGAUUCCCCCAGUAGCGGCGAGCGAACGGGGAGGAGCCCAGAGCCUGAAUCAGUGUGUGUGUUAGUGGAAGCGUCUGGAAAGGCGUGCGAUACAGGGUGACAGCCCCGUACACAAAAAUGCACAUAUUGUGAGCUCGAUGAGUAGGGCGGGACACGUGGUAUCCUGUCUGAAUAUGGGGGGACCAUCCUCCAAGGCUAAAUACUCCUGACUGACCGAUAGUGAACCAGUACCGUGAGGGAAAGGCGAAAAGAACCCCGGCGAGGGGAGUGAAAAAGAACCUGAAACCGUGUACGUACAAGCAGUGGGAGCCUCUUAAUGGGGUGACUGCGUACCUUUUGUAUAAUGGGUCAGCGACUUAUAUUCUGUAGCAAGGUUAACCGAAUAGGGGAGCCGAAGGGAAACCGAGUCUUAACUGGGCGUUAAGUUGCAGGGUAUAGACCCGAAACCCGGUGAUCUAGCCAUGGGCAGGUUGAAGGUUGGGUAACACUAACUGGAGGACCGAACCGACUAAUGUUGAAAAAUUAGCGGAUGACUUGUGGCUGGGGGUGAAAGGCCAAUCAAACCGGGAGAUAGCUGGUUCUCCCCGAAAGCUAUUUAGGUAGCGCCUCGUGAAUUCAUCUCCGGGGGUAGAGCACUGUUUCGGCAAGGGGGUCAUCCCGACUUACCAACCCGAUGCAAACUGCGAAUACCGGAGAAUGUUAUCACGGGAGACACACGGCGGGUGCUAACGUCCGUCGUGAAGAGGGAAACAACCCAGACCGCCAGCUAAGGUCCCAAAGUCAUGGUUAAGUGGGAAACGAUGUGGGAAGGCCCAGACAGCCAGGAUGUUGGCUUAGAAGCAGCCAUCAUUUAAAGAAAGCGUAAUAGCUCACUGGUCGAGUCGGCCUGCGCGGAAGAUGUAACGGGGCUAAACCAUGCACCGAAGCUGCGGCAGCGACACUAUGUGUUGUUGGGUAGGGGAGCGUUCUGUAAGCCUGUGAAGGUGGCCUGUGAGGGUUGCUGGAGGUAUCAGAAGUGCGAAUGCUGACAUAAGUAACGAUAAAGCGGGUGAAAAGCCCGCUCGCCGGAAGACCAAGGGUUCCUGUCCAACGUUAAUCGGGGCAGGGUGAGUCGACCCCUAAGGCGAGGCCGAAAGGCGUAGUCGAUGGGAAACAGGUUAAUAUUCCUGUACUUGGUGUUACUGCGAAGGGGGGACGGAGAAGGCUAUGUUGGCCGGGCGACGGUUGUCCCGGUUUAAGCGUGUAGGCUGGUUUUCCAGGCAAAUCCGGAAAACCAAGGCUGAGGCGUGAUGACGAAGCACUACGGUGCUGAAGCGACAAAUGCCCUGCUUCCAGGAAAAGCCUCUAAGCAUCAGGUAACAUCAAAUCGUACCCCAAACCGACACAGGUGGUCAGGUAGAGAAUACCAAGGCGCUUGAGAGAACUCGGGUGAAGGAACUAGGCAAAAUGGUGCCGUAACUUCGGGAGAAGGCACGCUGAUAUGUAGGUGAAGCGACUUGCUCGUGGAGCUGAAAUCAGUCGAAGAUACCAGCUGGCUGCAACUGUUUAUUAAAAACACAGCACUGUGCAAACACGAAAGUGGACGUAUACGGUGUGACGCCUGCCCGGUGCCGGAAGGUUAAUUGAUGGGGUUAGCGGCAACGCGAAGCUCUUGAUCGAAGCCCCGGUAAACGGCGGCCGUAACUAUAACGGUCCUAAGGUAGCGAAAUUCCUUGUCGGGUAAGUUCCGACCUGCACGAAUGGCGUAAUGAUGGCCAGGCUGUCUCCACCCGAGACUCAGUGAAAUUGAACUCGCUGUGAAGAUGCAGUGUACCCGCGGCAAGACGGAAAGACCCCGUGAACCUUUACUAUAGCUUGACACUGAACAUUGAGCCUUGAUGUGUAGGAUAGGUGGGAGGCUUUGAAGUGUGGACGCCAGUCUGCAUGGAGCCGACCUUGAAAUACCACCCUUUAAUGUUUGAUGUUCUAACGUUGGCCCGUAAUCCGGGUUGCGGACAGUGUCUGGUGGGUAGUUUGACUGGGGCGGUCUCCUCCUAAAGAGUAACGGAGGAGCACGAAGGUUGGCUAAUCCUGGUCGGACAUCAGGAGGUUAGUGCAAUGGCAUAAGCCAGCUUGACUGCGAGCGUGACGGCGCGAGCAGGUGCGAAAGCAGGUCAUAGUGAUCCGGUGGUUCUGAAUGGAAGGGCCAUCGCUCAACGGAUAAAAGGUACUCCGGGGAUAACAGGCUGAUACCGCCCAAGAGUUCAUAUCGACGGCGGUGUUUGGCACCUCGAUGUCGGCUCAUCACAUCCUGGGGCUGAAGUAGGUCCCAAGGGUAUGGCUGUUCGCCAUUUAAAGUGGUACGCGAGCUGGGUUUAGAACGUCGUGAGACAGUUCGGUCCCUAUCUGCCGUGGGCGCUGGAGAACUGAGGGGGGCUGCUCCUAGUACGAGAGGACCGGAGUGGACGCAUCACUGGUGUUCGGGUUGUCAUGCCAAUGGCACUGCCCGGUAGCUAAAUGCGGAAGAGAUAAGUGCUGAAAGCAUCUAAGCACGAAACUUGCCCCGAGAUGAGUUCUCCCUGAGACUUAGAGUCUCCUGAAGGAACGUUGAAGACGACGACGUUGAUAGGCCGGGUGUGUAAGCGCAGCGAUGCGUUGAGCUAACCGGUACUAAUGAACCGUGAGGCUUAACCUU